GGGAGCCACGUGGUCUGAAGUCAGAACACCUGGGUUCGAGAAUUAAAAUGUUACAGCAUUCUCCACAACAUUCUUACUCCUCUUCUGGAAAAGGUUACACGGAGAUUCCUGUGGCUUGCUGGCUCCAGACUGAGACUUCACAGCUCCCAGAACAGUGUAACCAGAGCACAGCUUCACAAUGGAAAUCCCCUCUUUCACCACACAACUCAGUGGUCGAGCCAUCUAAGAAUUCAACUUUCGUGCCAGU
Long non-coding RNA from Rhinolophus ferrumequinum (greater horseshoe bat), 247 nucleotides. RefSeq lists it as uncharacterized. The record is from RefSeq and is a predicted model, not a curated record. NCBI's taxonomy places the organism in Eukaryota, Metazoa, Chordata, Mammalia, Chiroptera, Rhinolophidae. The transcript is spliced from 3 exons.